Podarcis lilfordi (Lilford's wall lizard) is the source of this 73-nucleotide non-coding RNA. The record is from the annotation of a GenBank genome assembly. NCBI's taxonomy places the organism in Eukaryota, Metazoa, Chordata, Lepidosauria, Squamata, Lacertidae.
GCCCAGAUAGCUCAGUCAGUUGAGCACAUGACACAUAAUCUCAAAGUUGUGAGUUCGAGCCCCACAUUGGGCA